RNAcentral lists this long non-coding RNA (2122 nucleotides) under Stegodyphus dumicola. RNAcentral describes it as "uncharacterized LOC118202046". The record is from RNAcentral. Lineage: Eukaryota; Metazoa; Arthropoda; Arachnida; Araneae; Eresidae.
AGGAAAUUUAUACGAUAAUUAUCUCGAAAGUGCCGGCCCCGCUGCAAAACAAAUCCGCGAUGCACGUUUAAUGCGAAACGUAAGAGCGGCGAGAUGUUUGCGACGAUUUUGAAAUCCUUGAUAAUUUUAAAGUUGUUUUGAAAAGUGCGCGGAGAGCUCGCCGUAGCGCUUCUCUGCGCAGGAAAAGGCUGCUGCCAAGAGUCUUGAUCUCAUUAACAGCUUUAAACAAAACGGGUGACAGGGGAAAAUGUAUUUAUGAAAUGGCUAUUUUACACCACAAGAAAGUUUGGAAUACUCAGAAUAAGGUAUGAGCAGGGCCUGAUCUUCGCACGUGGAAAACGGGACUCGUGAUCCGGUUUUCAAAUCCUCUUAAAGUAUUUAAAGUUGGGAUAAUGACAACUGGAAUAAUGCUGUUUUAUCAUCUAUUUCCUUGUUGCUGAAGAGUUGAAGAGAAUCUGUUUUGAGUCCAGGUUCGAUGGUCUAAUCUCUAAUGCUUCAAGCUAUCAAAAGGAAGUGAAAUUAAACAUCUUUUGAUGUUAAAGUGCGCAAGUUUGAUACCUGUGUAAGCUAAUGAUUAUCUUCUCAAUUCGACUUAUUGUGUAACAGAAAUUAGAUGUGUGAUGAAGACGGUAAUGAGGCUGGACAUGGCGAUGAUGCUGUUUACUAUACGAAGGCAAGCACUGUAAGAAGGAUGACCAAAUUAGUGUGAUAGGUUAAAAAAUAGUGUAUCAGUUUUAUUCAUUAACAGAAAAACAGAGUAUACAAAGGUUGUUAUAUCGUUUUCGAUCACGGAGCUUUUCUGUAGCGUAAUAGUUGUAUUCUUAAUAACUAUUGUGUUUCUUAAAUCUUCUUUAAAUCUUAUGAAAUCUUGUAAAGUUAAAAAAAUCUGCCUUCUAUUAUAUACAGAGUUGCACUGUUCACGGAAAUAGAACGCUCCUAUGAAAGCUUUUCGUAAGCUGAAACAGCGUCAAGUGAAUAAGCAUUUAUCAUUUAAUAAUAUGCGGUAAGGUUCGAGUAGAAAAUUCAUCUGUGCAAAUUAUAAAAGCGUGUUUGUUCACCUGCAAGUUCGAAAGUUUUAACGACCGAUGAAAUGAAAUGUGGCAUUACUACUUCAAUACUUAAAAAGAAAAAAAAGAAGUGUGCUUUAAAUCAUCAAAGUGAUUUAAUGCUUAAGAAAUUCAGCAUUACAGUUCGUUCAAGGUCGUUGAUCUGUGUUUAAUGCGAUUCAAGUAUGUGCGCUAGAAAAUUAUUAUAUACACUUCCGCUUUUCCUAAAUAGCAUUUCGCCUUUGAAAAACUGAAAAUUAUUAUCUUCAUGUGAAAUUUCUCAGGUUCAUUUUCCAAUGAGACAAAAUUAUAAAAUAUGGCUGCGUAAUGUUUCUGCAAUUUGAUUGCGCUGUUUUGCAAAAAUAUGAAAUUAUUGUUCAUGAGAUGAAAGCAUAACAUGUCAAUAUCUUAAAUCUUUUGAAUGCAUUAAUUUUACGAGUAUUUUUAAUGUUAUUUCGUGAAGCUUUUUCAAUUCUUUUUCAUAUACUAGUUGCACUUAAUACUUUUCUUGAUCAUGAAAUAGAUAACUUAGUCGUUCAUCAAUGUAAUUAAAAAUGUUUUAUGGAAUAGUAAAUAGCUACUAUAAUUAUUAUUAUUUUAAGAUUUGAAUAUAUAGUGAUGUUUCUUCUAUUCGAUUAAAUGUAUAGCAUUAUUAAAAAAUUAAAAAUUAUAUGACAUUAAAGAUCGAAUUUUGCAGAUUUGGUUUAACAAAUUAAAGAAUUAUAAGAUUUUGUUUAUGGAAGGUUAUUAACUUGAUCGAUCUGUUUUUGUAUUGUUGUUUAAAUAUCUUUAAAUUAGUAAUUUUACUGGACUACGUCAUUUCUUGAUCAAUCCAUCUCGUAUGACUUGGAUAACGCUAAUGACGUAGCUAAUUCCGAAUUUGAACUCAAAAUUUCAAGAACUGAAACCUUUCUCUUAACAAACAACCUAAUCCGAAACCUUCUCUUCGUGAGCCUACAUAUUGCAUAAUUGCGCGCUUUCGCUUCUAUCUCUGUUGCCGCUAGGACGAUGUCGCCCUGCCUUCUUCCUAAAAUGUUUUCAAAAACGCAAAUAUUCUGGGAACAGACCUGGAGAGC